Molecule: ribosomal RNA, 253 nt
Filed under: uncultured bacterium
Lineage: Bacteria
Description: partial 16S ribosomal RNA
Rfam family: Bacterial small subunit ribosomal RNA
Source: RNAcentral
UACGUAGGUGGCGAGCGUUGUCCGGAAUUAUUGGGCGUAAAGCGCGCGUAGGCGGGAUAGUCAGUCUGUUGUAAAAGUGCGGGGCUCAACCCCGUAAGGUCAAUGGAAACUGCUAUUCUUGAGUGCAGGAGAGGAAAGUGGAAUUCCCAGUGUAGCGGUGAAAUGCGUAGAUAUUGGGAGGAACACCAGUGGCGAAGGCGACUUUCUGGACUGUGUCUGACGCUGAGGCGCGAAAGCCAGGGGAGAGAACGGG